RNAcentral lists this ribosomal RNA (253 nucleotides) under uncultured bacterium. RNAcentral's name for it is "partial 16S ribosomal RNA". It matches the Rfam family "Bacterial small subunit ribosomal RNA", at positions 524 to 776 of the family's 1533-position model. The record is from RNAcentral.
UACAGAGGUCUCAAGCGUUGUUCGGAUUUAUUGGGCGUAAAGGGUGCGUAGGCGGCGCGGUAAGUCGGGUGUGAAAUCUCGGGGCUUAACUCCGAAACUGCAUUCGAUACUGCCGUGCUUGAGGACUGGAGAGGAGACUGGAAUUUACGGUGUAGCGGUGAAAUGCGUAGAUAUCGUAAGGAAGACCAGUGGCGAAGGCGGGUCUCUGGACAGUUCCUGACGCUGAGGCACGAAGGCCAGGGGAGCAAACGGG